RNAcentral lists this ribosomal RNA (317 nucleotides) under uncultured bacterium. RNAcentral's name for it is "partial 16S ribosomal RNA". The record is from RNAcentral.
UAGAGUUUGAUCAUGGCUCAGAUAAGUCGUAACAAGGUAGCCGUACGUCGUAACAAGAUAGCCGUAGAGUUUGAGCAUGGCUCAGGAAGUCGUAACAAGGUAGCCGUAAAGUUUGAUCAUGGCUCAGCCUUGACUUAAAAAAUGGAGAAGUCGUAACAAGGUAGCCGUAAGUCGUAACAAGGUAACCGUAAGUCGUAACAGGGUAACCGUAGAGUUUGAUCCUGGCUCAGGAUAAGUCGUAACAAGGUAACCGUAAGUCGUAACAAGGAACCGUAGAGUUUGAUCCUGGCUCAGAAGUCGUAACAAGGUAACCGUAA